Molecule: ribosomal RNA, 400 nt
Filed under: uncultured bacterium
Lineage: Bacteria
Description: bacterial SSU rRNA
Rfam family: Bacterial small subunit ribosomal RNA
Source: RNAcentral
GGGGAAUAUUGGACAAUGGGCGAAAGCCUGAUCCAGCCAUGCCGCGUGAGUGAUGAAGGCCUUAGGGUUGUAAUGCUCUUUUAGCGGGGAAGAUAAUGACGGUACCCGCAGAAUAAGCCCCGGCUAACUUCGUGCCAGCAGCCGCGGUAAUACGAAGGGGGCUAGCGUUGUUCGGAAUUACUGGGCGUAAAGCGCACGUAGGCGGAUUGACAAGUCAGGGGUGAAAUCCCGGGGCUCAACCUCGGAACUGCCUUUGAUACUGUUAGUCUAGAGUCCGGAAGAGGUGGGUGGAAUUCCUAGUGUAGAGGUGAAAUUCGCAGAUAUUAGGAAGAACACCGGUGGCGAAGGCGGCCCACUGGUCCGGAACUGACGCUGAGGUGCGAAAGCGUGGGGAGCAAAC